RNAcentral lists this long non-coding RNA (337 nucleotides) under Rattus norvegicus (Norway rat). RNAcentral describes it as "long non-coding RNA NONRATT008025". The record is from RNAcentral. Lineage: Eukaryota; Metazoa; Chordata; Mammalia; Rodentia; Muridae.
GUCUCCCUUUGGCUGCUAGAAACCACCAUGUUUUCCGAUGCCAAUUCACAGGAGUGAAGAAACGUCUGACACGUAGUAUGUGGUACGGGCUCCAUCGGGAGACUGUGUCUGUUAUUUUAUCGUCAGCCCCAACGUUUCCAUUGCCACUAGCGUCACCCCCCAUCGUUGGCAUGUCCACCACCAUCACCAUCAUCACCAAUAUUACCAUCAUCCCUAUCACCAUUGUCCUCCCGCAUCUCCUCCCGAUAGCAACUCUCUUCAGAGAAAUGUUUUCUCUACUACAGAAUGAAAAGGGUCUUUCCAGAAAGGAGGUCUGAAACAUGAAGCGUCUCCUGGU